RNAcentral lists this long non-coding RNA (235 nucleotides) under Elaeis guineensis (African oil palm). Its description in RNAcentral is "long non-coding RNA (EGUI_LNC062890)". Lineage: Eukaryota; Viridiplantae; Streptophyta; Magnoliopsida; Arecales; Arecaceae. The record is from RNAcentral.
CUAGGUGUUAGGAAUCGCCAUCACAUAGCGACAGGUAUGCAUGCAAAAAUUUUAAAAUUUUAAAUACAAUAGAAAAAAAUUUUAAAAUAAUUUUCAAAAUAAUCAACAUCAUUUUAGGACAAUCAUGUAAUAUAAUAUUUUAUUGUUAUGUCAGGAUAAUCUUAUAUCAAAAUGAUAUUCAUUAGAUCUAAUCUAAUUAAGCAUGCACAGAGAUAUAUCUCAAUUAAAUUCAGGC